AUUGAACGCUGGCGGCAGGCCUAACACAUGCAAGUCGAGCGGAGCGGCGGACGGGUGAGUAACGCCUAGGAAUCUGCCUGGUAGUGGGGGAUAACGUCCGGAAACGGGCGCUAAUACCGCAUACUAUCAGAUUAGCCUAGGUCGGGUUAGCUAGUUGGUGGGGUAAAGGCCUACCAGGGCGACGAUCCGUAACUGGUCUGAGAGGAUGAUCAGUCACACUGGAACUGAAACACGGUCCAGAUUCCUAAGGGAGGCAGCAGUGGGGAAUAUUGGACAAUGGGCGAAAGUCUGGUACAGCCAUGCCGCGUGUGUGAAGAAGGUCUUGGGAUUGUAAAGCACUUUAAGGUGGGAGGCGUUACUAACAGAAUAAGCACCGGCUAACUUCGUGCCAGCAGCCGCGGUAAUUC
This 407-nucleotide ribosomal RNA is filed under the name uncultured bacterium. RNAcentral describes it as "partial 16S ribosomal RNA". It matches the Rfam family "Bacterial small subunit ribosomal RNA", at positions 30 to 526 of the family's 1533-position model. The record is from RNAcentral.